GUCUAUUUGGAGGUAUAAAAAGUCUAACCUGCCCACUGAUUAGAAUAAAAUUUAAGGGCCGCAGUAUUGUGACUGUGCAAAGGUAGCAUAAUCAUUAGGUUUUUAAAUGAGAUCUUGUAUGAAUGGUUGAACAAAGGAGAAGCUGUCUUUAUAUUAAAAUUUGAAUUUUACUUUUAAGUGAGAAGGCUUAAAUGUUUUAGAGGGACGAUAAGACCCUAUAAAGCUUUAUAUUAAAAUUAUAUUAUAUUUAAUUUAAUAUUAUAAAAGUUUAAUAUAAUUGUUUAUUAUACUGGGGAGGUAUAGGUACAAGUGUUAUUAACUACUUUUAAAAAAAACAUAUAUUUAUGUAGUAGAAGAUCCUAGAUAUAGAUUUAAAGUUUAAGUUACUUUAGGGAUAACAGUAUUAUUUUUUUUAAGAGUUCAUAUCGAAAAAAGAGUUUGUAACCUCGAUGUUGAAUUAAAAUAUCUGUAUAAUGUAGCAGUUAUAUAAGAAGGUCUGUUCGACCUUUAAUUUUUUACAUGAUUUGAGUUCAGAUCGGCGUGAG
This 545-nucleotide ribosomal RNA is filed under the name Sundathelphusa minahassae. Its description in RNAcentral is "partial 16S ribosomal RNA". It matches the Rfam family "Bacterial large subunit ribosomal RNA", at positions 1831 to 2625 of the family's 2925-position model. Lineage: Eukaryota; Metazoa; Arthropoda; Malacostraca; Decapoda; Parathelphusidae. The record is from RNAcentral.